Molecule: long non-coding RNA, 1445 nt
Organism: Aphis gossypii (cotton aphid)
Lineage: Eukaryota; Metazoa; Arthropoda; Insecta; Hemiptera; Aphididae
Exons: 4
Source: RefSeq, a predicted model, not a curated record
GCCGGCAACAAUCGCGCCAAUGCAGCAAAAGUGCACUCAUAAUAUAUGUGUAAAAAAUAAAAAAUAAUAAUAAUAAUAACAUCGUGUAAACCUUUUUUUAUAGUGGCGGCGGUAUAUCAAAAGCGAUUGACAAAUGAACGCGUUUUCGCGAUCGUCUCGUAAAAAAAAAAAAAAACGGUGCAAAUGUGCAAUAUGAGCUCAUCUCAUUAUUUCUACCGCUCGUAACGCCAUUAAUCGACUGACUGUAUACUUUCUGACUGAUUCUCGUAUAAAUCGAAAAUAAUAAAUUCGUUUGUUCGCCGUCCAGUCUCGAGCAAAAUAAUUUUGUUAUAAUAUAUACAUCUUGUUACCGCGAACAGCGAGUAGUUUAAAAUUGUCUACAGAUGUAGACACAUGCAGUAUUGUUAUAUACAGAAAACAAUGAAGGCGAUUAUUGUUGGGUAUACCUCGUCAAAAUAUUUUACAGGCUCGUAUACAGACGACGGGGCACGCGUGUUCGGAAUGGUAAUGGUUUGCAGAAAACAUAAUAUAUAUUUAUCGUCGUUCAACUCAACGGCUGUGAUUCUAACAAUGAUUUGACGAAAAUGACGUAUACAAUUUACGUUUUCUGUAUAACAUAAAAGGUACGUAAAAUUUAAUUUUUACACAUAUUAUUAUAUUUUACCGACGGAAUAACAGCGAAUAUUAUAAUGGGUGAAUUAUACACAUCGCGCCCAUUUCCUAGCUUCGUAAUUCGAUUCCCGUCUCCGUAUAUGAGCUAUCACCGUCAUAAUUGAAUAACGACGACAUGUGCAUACAAGACGGCGGCACGCGUGCGCGCGACAAGGUCGUCCAUCAGUCAUCCGCGGCGUUCCACAGAAACUCAGCAUCGGCGAAUCGUCGCAGGCUCGCAACACGUGUCCCCGACUGCUUCCUCCUCGUAUUCUCGGCAUGCCAGUUCGCACGCGCGUUCGCACACAUAAUAGAUUGUAGUGUUAAUACCCGAGAUACCGGCUGCAAUAAUAUUUCUCCUCGAUACCUUGAUGACGGACAACAAUUUUAUUUCAAACUCAAAUUUACUACUACUCAACAUUGCAACAGCGUCACCAGUCGCGACAACGCGGCGCGCGAUUAUCUACAUACGGUUACACAUCAAGCCUUGGCGGUCAAGCCACGGAUUACAGUUGAUUAAAUUUAUUAUUAUACACUUUUACUAAUAAUAUAGCUGAUAACGAUAAAAUUAGUUGCGUAUAUUUAUAAUUAUGUAGAUACGUAUGUUUAACUAAAUACGCGUGUGAGAUUGAAUAAAAAAAUACAAUACUUAAGCCUAUCUACAAGUUACAACGAACACCAGUCGUAUACAACGGAUACUUUUGACGAUCCUGUGGUUCGUGAUAACCCAUUAUAAUAAUAGGUGUAUACAGGUAUCAGUGUAAUAAUAACAAUAAUUAAAAUAAAUAAAAUAA